GCCCGCUCAGAAACUCAAAGGAAUUGACGGGGCCCGCACAAGCGGUGGAGUAUGUGGUUUAAUUCGAUGCAACGCGAAGAACCUUACCUGGUCUUGACAUCCCGGAGACCCUUAGGAACUAGGGGUGCUUCCAUCUGGAAGAAUCUGGAGACAGGUGCUGCAUGGCUGUCGUCAGCUCGUGUCGUGAGAUGUUGGGUUAAGUCCCGCAACGAGCGCAACCCUUGCCUUUAGUUGCCAGCAGUUCGGCUGGGCACUCUAAAGGGACUGCCGGUGUUAAACCGGAGGAAGGUGGGGAUGACGUCAAGUCCUCAUGGCCUUUAUGACCAGGGCUACACACGUACUACAAUGGCCGAUACAAAGGGCAGCGACACUGCGAGGUGAAGCCAAUCCCGUAAAAUCGGUCUCAGUCCGGAUUGGAGUCUGCAACUCGACUCCAUGAAGUUGGAAUCGCUAGUAAUCGUGGAUCAGCAUGCCACGGUGAAUACGUUCCCGGGCCUU
This 498-nucleotide ribosomal RNA is filed under the name uncultured Desulfobulbus sp. Its description in RNAcentral is "bacterial SSU rRNA". It matches the Rfam family "Bacterial small subunit ribosomal RNA", at positions 887 to 1382 of the family's 1533-position model. The record is from RNAcentral. Lineage: Bacteria; Pseudomonadati; Thermodesulfobacteriota; Desulfobulbia; Desulfobulbales; Desulfobulbaceae.